GAUGAACGCUGGCGGCGUGCCUAAUACAUGCAAGUCGAACGAUGUCUUCGGACAUAGUGGCGAACGGGUGAGUAACACGUUGGUACCUACCCUCUAGUGGGGAAUAACUGGCCGAAAGGUCGGCUAAUACCGCAUAAUACCGCAAGGUUAAAGCAGUAAUGCGCUAGAGGAGGGGCCUGCGUCCCAUUAGCUUGUUGGUAGUGUAAUGGACUACCAAGGCGACGAUGGGUAGCUGGAUCGAGAGGUUGACCAGCCACACUGGGACUGAGAUACGGCCCAGACUCCUACGGGAGGCAGCAGUAAGGAAUCUUCCACAAUGGACGAAAGUCUGAUGGAGCAACGCCGCGUGCAGGAUGACGGCCUUCGGGUUGUAAACUGCUUUUAUACGGGAAGAUUAUGACGGUACCGUAUGAAUAAGGACCGGCUAACUACGUGCCAGCCGCCGCCGUAA
RNAcentral lists this ribosomal RNA (451 nucleotides) under uncultured bacterium. Its description in RNAcentral is "partial 16S ribosomal RNA". It matches the Rfam family "Bacterial small subunit ribosomal RNA", at positions 28 to 523 of the family's 1533-position model. The record is from RNAcentral.